GCUCGCUCCUGUAAACAUAUACUAAAAUUGGAAUGAUACAUAAAAGAUUUUCAUGGCCCCUGUGAUGACAUGCAAACUCAUAACAUGUUCCAUAUUUUU
This 99-nucleotide small nuclear RNA is filed under the name Suricata suricatta (meerkat). The record is from RNAcentral. Lineage: Eukaryota; Metazoa; Chordata; Mammalia; Carnivora; Herpestidae.